This 501-nucleotide ribosomal RNA is filed under the name uncultured bacterium. Its description in RNAcentral is "partial 16S ribosomal RNA". It matches the Rfam family "Bacterial small subunit ribosomal RNA", at positions 30 to 523 of the family's 1533-position model. The record is from RNAcentral.
AUUGAACGCUGGCGGCAGGCUUAACACAUGCAAGUCGAGCGGGGGAAGGUAGCUUGCUACCGGACCUAGCGGCGGACGGGUGAGUAAUGCUUAGGAAUCUGCCUAUUAGUGGGGGACAACAUCUCGAAAGGGAUGCCAAUACCGCAUACGUCCUACGGGAGAAAGCAGGGGAUCUUCGGACCUUGCGCUAAUAGAUGAGCCUAAGUCGGAUUAGCUAGUUGGUGGGGUAAAGGCCUACCAAGGCGACGAUCUGUAGCGGGGCUGAGAGGAUGAGCCGCCACACUGGAGCUGAGACGCGGCCCAGACUCCUACGGAGGGCAGCAGUGGGGAAUAUUGGACAAUGGGGGGAACCCUGAUCCAGCCAUGCCGCGUGUGUGAAGAAGGCCUUAUGGUUGUAAAGCACUUUAAGCGAGGAGGAGGCUACUUUAGUUAAUACCUAGAGAUAGUGGACGUUACUCGCAGAAUAAGCACCGGCUAACUCUGUGCCAGCCGCCGCCGUAA